This 1313-nucleotide long non-coding RNA is filed under the name Heterocephalus glaber (naked mole-rat). RNAcentral's name for it is "lncRNA (ENSHGLG00000047573.1)". The record is from RNAcentral. Lineage: Eukaryota; Metazoa; Chordata; Mammalia; Rodentia; Bathyergidae.
CGACGGCGGCGGCGGACGGGGCGGGGCGGGCCGGGGGCGGGGACGGAGCCGGCCGGACCGGGGCGGGAGUGGGGGCGGCGGGGACAGCUGCGGGUGGGUAAGGGUUCGCGGACGGGGCGGGGGAGACGGAGACGGCGGUGGCUCGGCCCUUGGGCCGCAACUUGGGCCCCGCUCCAGGCUGAGGGGACGCAGGCCCCGCGGCGACGGCGGGAGGGCCAGGGCUGGGCCCCCAACCCGCGGGACCCUGCCUUGGCCCUGCCGGCCACCUGGGCCUAGUCCCCGCCGGCCACCUGGGCCUAGUCCCCGACGCGCCCCUGCCGCCCACUAGAGGGCCGAGGUGUUGCCCCCGCGGACGACGGGCGCCUCGCAGGCCCAGCCAGUCCUCUCCGUCGAGGUGCGACACGCAGCGGGGCCUAAAGUGAAAGCUAGCAGCGGGUCGGGCCUGGCGCCCAGGUCACGGCCGGAGGGAGGACGCGCGCGCGCAGCCUGCAGACGGCGCGCGGACAGGGGACUCGGGGAGGCUCGAGGUGACCCCAGGGUCGCCUCACGCCGGCGGCUGGAGGUCGGGGAGUGGGAAGGCGCAGAGCAGGCCCUGGUAACCACUGGGAAUCCGAGCUGAGGGUCCGGGACAGACGCGACACCGCACCACCCGGGGCUGAGCUGAGCCUGGGUGAGAAAGGCCAUAAAUGAUUAUUCUUUCCAGACAUUUGGCAGGGAGAGGGAGAGAAAAGUAGGCCUGAGUCCAAAGGGUUGGAAGAGGAAAAAAGGGUAUUUGGGGUUUGGUUUUGUUUUUAAUUUGUUCCAGUUUGAGGGAGAGACCCGUAGAAUAGUAAAUGGUGCAAAGUCUCAGGAAAGGAGAUGGGAAGGGAGAGAGAGAAGUGAGAGAAGAGGGAACCUCUUCCUGCCAGAGUUAAAGGAUGCUUAGAGAUGAAAAGAUUUUGAAGUGAGGAAGCAGGCAUGUUCCUCUGACCAGCUGCCUGGAUCAUAAACCAGACUGUGCUGGGCACAGAAGCAGCCAAGAACUGAAGAAGGGGAAGUUCAUGUGUAAACAAGGCAAAGCGGCUGGAGGGAAGACUGGGAUGACCUGGACCUGACAUCAGCCUGAGAUGUAGGAUCCCAACACUGCCUUUCAGAACCCGUAUGUAGAAGAUCUCUCGUGUUUUCUCGAGAUUUGGACAUACAAAAGGACAGACACCAAGAAGAGCUUGCUAUCAUGGCUUUCCUCACAAUAGUCUGCCCUGUGCCCUCCAGGGUAUACUUUUAUUUUGCUUUUUCCUCCUUUACUUGGCCCAAGCUGGCUCUGCAGAGCCAGU